AGUGAACGCUGGCGGUAGGCCUAACACAUGCAAGUCGAACGGCAGCACAGUAAGAGCUUGCUCUUACGGGUGGCGAGUGGCGGACGGGUGAGGAAUACAUCGGAAUCUACUUUUUCGUGGGGGAUAACGUAGGGAAACUUACGCUAAUACCGCAUACGACCUACGGGUGAAAGCAGGGGAUCUUCGCACCUUGCGCGAUUGUAUGAGCCGAUGUCGGAUUAGCUAGUUGGCGGGGUAAAGGCCCACCAAGGCGACGAUCCGUAGCUGGUCUGAGAGGAUGAUCGGCCACACUGGAACUGAGACACGGUCCAGACUCCUACGGGAGGCAGCAGUGGGGAAUAUUGGACAAUGGGCGCAAGCCUGAUCCAGCCAUACCGCGUGAGUGAAGAAGGCCUUCGGGUUGUAAAGCCCUUUUGUUAGGAAAGAAAAGCAGCAGGUUAAUACCCCGCUGUUCUGACGGUACCCAAAGAAUAAGCACCGGCUAACUUCGUG
Molecule: ribosomal RNA, 492 nt
Filed under: uncultured bacterium
Lineage: Bacteria
Description: partial 16S ribosomal RNA
Rfam family: Bacterial small subunit ribosomal RNA
Source: RNAcentral